CCUACGGGUGGCUGCAGUGGGGAAUAUUGGACAAUGGGCGAAAGCCUGAUCCAGCCAUGCCGCGUGUGUGAAGAAGGCCUUCGGGUUGUAAAGCACUUUCAGUGGGGAAGAAAGCCUUGGGGCUAAUACCCUCGAGGAAGGACAUCACCCACAGAAGAAGCACCGGCUAACUCCGUGCCAGCAGCCGCGGUAAUACGGAGGGUGCGAGCGUUAAUCGGAAUUACUGGGCGUAAAGCGCGCGUAGGCGGUCUGAUAAGCCGGUUGUGAAAGCCCCGGGCUCAACCUGGGAACGGCAUCCGGAUCUGUCAGGCUAGAGUGCAGGAGAGGAAGGUAGAAUUCCCGGUGUAGCGGUGAAAUGCGUAGAGAUCGGGAGGAAUACCAGUGGCGAAGGCGGCCUUCUGGACUGACACUGACGCUGAGGUGCGAAAGCGUGGGUAGCAAACAGGAUUAGAUACCCCUGUAGUC
This 465-nucleotide ribosomal RNA is filed under the name Vreelandella stevensii. Its description in RNAcentral is "partial 16S ribosomal RNA". It matches the Rfam family "Bacterial small subunit ribosomal RNA", at positions 338 to 795 of the family's 1533-position model. The record is from RNAcentral. Lineage: Bacteria; Pseudomonadati; Pseudomonadota; Gammaproteobacteria; Oceanospirillales; Halomonadaceae.